This 420-nucleotide ribosomal RNA is filed under the name bacterium. Its description in RNAcentral is "partial 16S ribosomal RNA". It matches the Rfam family "Bacterial small subunit ribosomal RNA", at positions 355 to 776 of the family's 1533-position model. The record is from RNAcentral.
UGGGGGAUAUUGCACAAUGGGCGAAAGCCUGAUGCAGCGACGCCGCGUGGGGGAUGAAGGCUUUCGGGUUGUAAACCUCUUUCGCUAUCGAACAAGGCCCGCUUAGGGUGGGUUGAGGGUAGGUGGAGAAGAAGCGCCGGCUAACUACGUGCCAGCAGCCGCGGUAAUCCGUAGGGCGCGAGCGUUGUCCGGAAUUAUUGGGCGUAAAGGGCUUGUAGGCGGCUUGUUGCGCCUGCUGUGAAAACGCGGGGCUUAACUUCGCGCGUGCAGUGGGUACGGGCAGGCUUGAGUGUGGUAGGGGUGACUGGAAUUCCAGGUGUAGCGGUGGAAUGCGCAGAUAUCUGGAGGAACACCGAUGGCGAAGGCAGGUCACUGGGCCAUUACUGACGCUGAGGUGCGAAAGCAUGGGUAGCGAACAGG